This 848-nucleotide ribosomal RNA is filed under the name uncultured fungus. RNAcentral's name for it is "eukaryotic LSU rRNA". The stretch from base 612 to 848 matches the Rfam family "Eukaryotic large subunit ribosomal RNA", at positions 1 to 232 of the family's 3401-position model. The record is from RNAcentral. Lineage: Eukaryota; Fungi.
CAUUAAUGAUUUAUACUGGGAGUUGAUGCUGGUAGUCUUGGUUGGCUACAUGUGCUCGCUCCUAUCAAUCAUAUUCCAAACACCUGUGCACAUUUUUGAGAGGUUUUCGAGCUAGUUGCCAUAUUUGGGUGAUUUGCAUGUAUUCCUCUCAAUAUCAAUAUCUAUACUCUGCUAAUAAUGUUGAACGUGUUGUGCCGUAAGGCCUUAAUGGAUAAAUACAACUUUUAACAACGGAUCUCUUGGCUCUCGCAUCGAUGAAGAACGCAGCGAAAUGCGAUAAGUAAUGUGAAUUGCAGAAUUCAGUGAAUCAUCGAAUCUUUGAACGCACCUUGCGCUCCCUGGUAUUCCGGGGAGCACACCUGUUCGAGUGUCGUGAAAUUCCUCAAGCUUUGGAUGGUCUUGUCUGUCCUUAAGUCUUGGUUAUUGGGCUUUGCCAUAUCCCUUCAUUGGGGAUGGCUGGUCUUAAAAGCAUUAGCUGGCCUUUAUGUGAUAUUGGUUCUACUCAGCGUGAUAAUUAUCUGAUCGCCGAGGACAUCUUUUUGGGAUGGCCAGUGUCUGUUUGGGUUGCUUCUAAUCUGGCUUCAGAUACUCUGAAUCCAUAUUUUCAGUUUUGACCUCGAAUCAGGUGGGACUACCCGCUGAACUUAAGCAUAUCAAUAAGCGGAGGAAAAGAAACUAACAAGGAUUCCCCUAGUAACGGCGAGUGAAGCGGGAAGAGCUCAAAUUUAAAAUCUGGCAGCCUUUGGUUGUCCGAAUUGUAAUCUAGAGAAGCGUUUUCCGCGCUGGACUGUGUACAAGUUUCCUGGAUACGGAACAUCAUAGAGGGUGAGAAUCCCGUCCUUGACACA